RNAcentral lists this ribosomal RNA (497 nucleotides) under uncultured bacterium. RNAcentral describes it as "partial 16S ribosomal RNA". It matches the Rfam family "Bacterial small subunit ribosomal RNA", at positions 28 to 507 of the family's 1533-position model. The record is from RNAcentral.
GAUGAACGCUGGCGGCGUGCCUAAUACAUGCAAGUCGAGCGAACAGACGAGGAGCUUGCUCCUCUAACGUUAGCGGCGGACGGGUGAGUAACACGUGGAUAACCUACCUAUAAGACUGGGAUAACUUCGGGAAACCGGAGCUAAUACCGGAUAAUAUAUUGAACCGCAUGGUUCAAUAGUGAAAGACGGUUUUGCUGUCACUUAUAGAUGGAUCCGCGCCGCAUUAGCUAGUUGGUAAGGUAACAGCUUACCAAGGCAACGAUGCGUAGCCGACCUGAGAGGGUGAUCGGCCACACUGGAACUGAGACACGGUCCAGACUCCUACGGGAGGCAGCAGUAGGGAAUCUUCCGCAAUGGGCGAAAGCCUGACGGAGCAACGCCGCGUGAGUGAUGAAGGUCUUCGGAUCGUAAAACUCUGUUAUUAGGGAAGAACAAAUGUGUAAGUAACUAUGCACGUCUUGACGGUACCUAAUCAGAAAGCCACGGCUAACUACGUG